CUCUCUCUGUGUGUGUGUGUGUGUGUGAAUUUGCUUUGAAAAGUAUACUUCCUCAGUAUCUACAAGAAUUAACUUAGUAAAUGUUCAUUCUUAUGUAUAUUAUUAUUAUUAUUGUUACUAUUAGUUUUAUUAUUAAUGUAGCUGAAUAUUUCAUCCAUCCUCCAAAAAAUGAAUAUUAAUUUUGUAAUAUCAGAUAAUUUCUCCUUCAUUUCCAUAUGACAACGUUCAUUUGUGUAUGUAAAUUCACUUCUUACCAGUAUUUAUGUAUUCAUUUUGUUGCAUUCACCACCAACGAAGAAUUUAAAACAAGAAUAUUUGACGCUGAAUUAACGAAAAUCAAGCUCAUAUCUUUAAAUGCCGUGUGUGUGUGUGUGUGUGUGUGUGUUGGACCUGAGGUAAUCUCGAUUGAUACUAUCGAGAGAGAGAGAGAGAGAGAGAGAGAGAGAGAGAGAGAGAGAGAGAGAGAGAGAGAGAGAGAGAGAGAGAGAGAGAGAGAGAUUAUCCUCGUGACGUUUACAGGGACAAAGAAAAUUGCACUUCCCCAUCCAGAAUAUGAACGAAAGUGACGGAAAAUGAAAAGAAAAGAAACACUGGCAGACAGUGAGGAAAAGAACCACCACUGCUACAAACAACAUCACUAUCACUACCACCACCAGGAAACAUCCUUCAUACAAUUUAGUGGAGAGAGAGAGAGAGAGAGAGAGAGAGAGAGAGAGAGAGAGAGAGAGAGAGAGAGAGAUCCUGCUUAAUCUUAUCUUUUCUCACCACCAAAUUAAACUUACUUGUCAUAUUUACACACACACACACACACACACACACACACACACACACACACACACACACACACACACACAC
Molecule: long non-coding RNA, 855 nt
Organism: Portunus trituberculatus (swimming crab)
Lineage: Eukaryota; Metazoa; Arthropoda; Malacostraca; Decapoda; Portunidae
Exons: 2
Source: RefSeq, a predicted model, not a curated record